UAUAUUUGCAUCGCAAAAAUUGCAUACAUAAAAAUCAUUUAAAACAAUAUUGGCAUG
This 57-nucleotide non-coding RNA is filed under the name unclassified sequences. Its description in RNAcentral is "S15-Flavobacteria ribosomal protein leader". It matches the Rfam family "S15-Flavobacteria ribosomal protein leader". The record is from RNAcentral.